GACGAACGCUGGCGGCGUGCUUAACACAUGCAAGUCGAACGGAAAGGCCCUGCUCUUGUUGGGUGCUCGAGUGGCGAACGGGUGAGUAACACGUGAAUAACCUGCCCUUGACUUUGGGAUAACUUCAGGAAACUGGGGCUAAUACCGGAUAGGAGCUCCUGCUGCAUGGUGGGGGUUGGAAAGUUUCGGCGGUUGGGGAUGGACUCGCGGCUUAUCAGCUUGUUGGUGGGGUAGUGGCUUACCAAGGCUUUGACGGGUAGCCGGCCUGAGAGGGUGACCGGCCACAUUGGGACUGAGGUACGGCCCAGACUCCUACGGGAGGCAGCAGUGGGGAAUAUUGCACAAUGGGCGGAAGCCUGAUGCAGCAACGCCGCGUGCGGGAUGACGGCCUUCGGGUUGUAAACCGCUUUCGCCUGUGACGAAGCGUGAGUGACGGUAAUGGGUAAAGAAGCACCGGCUAACUACGUG
RNAcentral lists this ribosomal RNA (468 nucleotides) under uncultured bacterium. RNAcentral's name for it is "partial 16S ribosomal RNA". It matches the Rfam family "Bacterial small subunit ribosomal RNA", at positions 28 to 507 of the family's 1533-position model. The record is from RNAcentral.